Molecule: ribosomal RNA, 468 nt
Filed under: uncultured bacterium
Lineage: Bacteria
Description: partial 16S ribosomal RNA
Rfam family: Bacterial small subunit ribosomal RNA
Source: RNAcentral
GACGAACGCUGGCGGCGUGCUUAACACAUGCCAGUAGAACGGAAAGGCCCUGCUUUUGUGGGGUGCUCGAGUGGCGAACGGGUGAGUAACACGUGAGUAACCUGCCCUUGACUUUGGGAUAACUUCAGGAAACUGGGGCUAAUACCGGAUAGGAGCUCCUGCUGCAUGGUGGGGGUUGGAAAGUUUCGGCGGUUGGGGAUGGACUCGCGGCUUAUCAGCUUGUUGGUGGGGUAGUGGCUUACCAAGGCUUUGACGGGUAGCCGGCCUGAGAGGGUGACCGGCCACAUUGGGACUGAGAUACGGCCCAGACUCCUACGGGAGGCAGCAGUGGGGAAUAUUGCACAAUGGGCGGAAGCCUGAUGCAGCAACGCCGCGUGCGGGAUGACGGCCUUCGGGUUGUAAACCGCUUUCGCCUGUGACGAAGCGUGAGUGACGGUAAUGGGUAAAGAAGCACCGGCUAACUACGUG